AGGGAUGGAGCUCAAGGGUAGAGUACUUGCCUGGCAUGCAGGUGACCUGGGUUCAACCCCCAGUGGCCCCC
RNAcentral lists this transfer RNA (71 nucleotides) under Fukomys damarensis (Damara mole-rat). It matches the Rfam family "tRNA". Rfam says of the family: Transfer RNA (tRNA) molecules are approximately 80 nucleotides in length. Their secondary structure includes four short double-helical elements and three loops (D, anti-codon, and T loops). Lineage: Eukaryota; Metazoa; Chordata; Mammalia; Rodentia; Bathyergidae. The record is from Rfam by way of RNAcentral.